Molecule: ribosomal RNA, 252 nt
Filed under: uncultured bacterium
Lineage: Bacteria
Description: partial 16S ribosomal RNA
Rfam family: Bacterial small subunit ribosomal RNA
Source: RNAcentral
UACGGAGGAUGCGAGCGUUAUCCGGAUUUAUUGGGUCUAAAGGGUGCGUAGGCGGGAUGCCAAGUCAGCGGUAAAAAUGCGGUGCUCAACGCCGUCGAGCCGUUGAAACUGGCGUUCUUGAGUGGGCGAGAAGUAUGCGGAAUGCGUGGUGUAGCGGUGAAAUGCAUAGAUAUCACGCAGAACUCCGAUUGCGAAGGCAGCAUACCGGCGCCCUACUGACGCUGAGGCACGAAAGCGUGGGUAUCGAACAGG